AUUUCUUUAUUCUUUUAUUCUUUAAAAAGGGGGCAUUGGGAGGCGUGAAACUCAUCACCUUCCCAAGAAAAACCCUAGCCCCACUUUGCUCCCACCAUAGCCGCCGCCACUCUCCGCCGCCGCCGCACGCCGCCGCACGCCGCCGCACGCCACCGCACGCCACCGCCGCCAGCUGCGAAAAUAACCCUCGGAGCCGGCCGUAGUAGAGCCGAACCACCAUCCCAGCCGCGCCGCGUCUGCAAGCCGAAUCCGGAGCCGCUCCUCAUCCGCGCAGCCGAGCGCCGUAUCCGCAGCCAGCCACGCCGCGCCGCGUAGAUCCGACGCAGCGCAGCCGGGACUCGUCGAGACAGCCGAAGCCAGCCAGCCGCGCCGCUCCGAUCGAAGCCGAAGGGAGCCGCUUCGAUCCGCGCACAGCCGUCUCCCGCAGCCGCCACUCGAAGCCGAUCCGCCGCGCGUGCCUCCAGCCGUCGAAGCCGAACCCACGUUUCGGCCGACGCCCGAACCCGAAACCGAUCCGCGCCCGCUCGCCCGAAACCGACCCGCGCCCGCUCGCCCGAAACCGAACCCGCUCCACGCUCGCGCACGCCCGCUCCGAGUCGCAAGCCGAGCCCGCGCGCGCCCAUCCCACGCCACGAGCCGCGCCGGUCUGCACCACAAGCCGCGCCGCGCCGCCUGCACUGCAAGCCGAGCCGCGCCUCCUUGCUGACGCGAGCCGAGCCGCACGCGCAAGAUCCUUGCGCCAAGCCGAGCCGAGCCGAUCUCUGUCUCCUUCCAGCCGAGCCGCCAAGCCUAAUUUGGCUCCUUCCACCUAAUUUUUGGGACGUCUUGGACCAAGUAACUGCUGCAGCGGGGGAUUUCUUCAGUAGGGGCUUGAGCACUGCAAUCUCCUUCUAGGUUAGGACCUCGUCGCUUGGAAAGCGUACUGCCUCGCGGUUAGGACUCGUCAAGUAAAUCUCCAGGUAAGAGAUUCUACUACUAGCUCCACGCUUAGAAAUAUGAGAUGAUGUAUACUCCAAUUUUGCAUGUUGGGGAUUGGACGGUACGAUGCCUGAAAUCAAUGUUAGUAUGAUGUAAAUGACGGUAUGGCUAUACUAUAGCCUGUUAUGUGUGGCGAGAGCCGUUAUAGUUAUACGACGAAUGUCGAGACGGAGAGGGCAGAGAUGAUUUAUAUGAUAUGUUAUAUGCUGAUGCCAUGUGUAUGUAUACUGCACUUAGGGUACCUGUUAGCUCGAUCUGUUAGAGUCGUACCUGCAUGGGUGUCCUUCGGGAUCACCACCUAUUGAGGACUGUGUGGUCCGACGGGACGCCAGUCUAGCAUGGAUAUAGAUAUGACUCGAGUGACUCGACGGGGUCCUCGCAUCCCGACUGUCCUAGGUGUCCCUCGGGGCACCGAAGACCAGAGUUACGUUCCUACGGGAGCGCAUGAUUGCACGUGUUCGGGAACGUGCCAGAGAUUGGGUACCAGUUAUCAGGACUCUAACAGGAAGUUAACAGGCACCUAGUGGGACUAGUAGUGGGUCCCUUACUGAGUAUUUUUAUACUCACUCUCUUCGUUUUAUGUUUUCAGGUAGAGGACGGGGCAAGGGCAAGGGCAAGCUGGCGAGCGACCCGAAGUGAGACCGUGGAGGGCCAUAGGGACUACCGCUUCCGCUUAUUCUUAUUUCAGAUUUUCGCGUUUGAAAUUGAGUACUUUACAUCACUUACCAUCUUUUAUGUAGAUAGGGCCCGAGUAGGAUUUCAGAUUGCUUUUACGUUUCUGCAUGACUACCUUGUUUGAAUUUUAUAAAUAAAAUUUCUUAAACCGUAUGCGUUUUGAAAUUUUUCAAGACUUAAACCACUUGUUCUAU
Molecule: long non-coding RNA, 1847 nt
Organism: Cucumis melo (muskmelon)
Lineage: Eukaryota; Viridiplantae; Streptophyta; Magnoliopsida; Cucurbitales; Cucurbitaceae
Exons: 3
Source: RefSeq, a predicted model, not a curated record